This 231-nucleotide ribosomal RNA is filed under the name uncultured Pelagophyceae. RNAcentral's name for it is "partial Bacterial large subunit ribosomal RNA". It matches the Rfam family "Bacterial large subunit ribosomal RNA", at positions 14 to 251 of the family's 2925-position model. Lineage: Eukaryota; Pelagophyceae. The record is from RNAcentral.
AGCGUAUAUGGUGGAUGCCUAGGCAGUAAGAGGCGAUGAAGGACGUUGUAGUCUGCGAUAAGCCCGGGGGAGCUGACAAACAAGCUUUGAUCCCGGGAUUUCCGAAUGGGGAAACCCGACCGUAAGGUCAUCAUGCACUGAAUACAUAGGUGUAUGAAGCAAACCCAGGGAACUGAAUCAUCUAAGUACCUGGAGGAAAAGAAAUCAAACGAGAUUCCCUUAGUAGCGGCG